Podarcis lilfordi (Lilford's wall lizard) is the source of this 86-nucleotide non-coding RNA. The record is from the annotation of a GenBank genome assembly. Lineage: Eukaryota; Metazoa; Chordata; Lepidosauria; Squamata; Lacertidae.
GCCUGCGUAGCUCAGCUGGUUAGAGCCUGGUGCAGAUGGCGCUGAGGUUGCAGGUUCGAUCCCUGCAUAUCCCUGCAUUGCAGGGG